AGGACGAACGCUGGCGGCGUGCUUAACACAUGCAAGUGGAGCGACGAACCAGGGCUUGCCCUGUGGCAGAGCCGCGAACGGGUGAGUAACACGUGGGUUACCUGCCUCGAUGACCGGGACAACCCGAGGAAACUCGGGCUAAUACCGGAUGUGCCCGUAAGGGGAAAGGAAGCUUCGGCCUCCGCAUCGAGAUGGGCCCGCGGCCCAUUAGCUUGUUGGUGAGGUAACGGCUCACCAAGGCUUCGAUGGGUAGCUGGUCUGAGAGGACGAUCAGCCACACUGGGACUGAGACACGGCCCAGACUCCUACGGGAGGCAGCAGUGGGGAAUCUUGCGCAAUGCGCGAAAGCGUGACGCAGCAACGCCGCGUGGGGGAAGAAGGCUUUCGGGUUGUAAACCCCUUUCAGUUGGGACGAAGCUUCUUCGGUGAAUAGCCGAACGGAGUGACGGUACCUUCACAAGAAGCACCGGCUAACUACGCGCCAGCAGCCGCGGU
Molecule: ribosomal RNA, 495 nt
Filed under: uncultured bacterium
Lineage: Bacteria
Description: SSU rRNA
Rfam family: Bacterial small subunit ribosomal RNA
Source: RNAcentral